UCACUCUAAAAACUCUUCAUUCUCCUCGUUCUAAAAGAUCAACAAGCUAGUACUCCAUUUGUAACAUAAAACUCACUCUACAAAACUCCCAAUUCACCUCACUCUAAAAAACUCUCCAUUCUCCUCGUUCUAAAGAUCAACAAGUACUCCAUUUGUAACAUAAAACUCAUUUUAAAAGACUCUUCAUUCUCCUCACUCUAAAAUAUCAACAAGCUAGGACUACAUUUGUAAUAUAAAACUCAUUUUAAAGAACUUCUCAUUCACCUCACUCUAAAAAACUCUCCAUUCUCCUCACUCUAAAAGAUCAACAAGCUAGUACUCCAUGUGUAACAUAAACUCAUUCUAAAAAAACUCCCCAUUCACCUCACUUUAAAAAACUCUCCAUUCUCCUUAUUCUAAAAGAUCAACAAGUAUUCCAUUUGUAACACAAAACUCAUUCUAAAA
RNAcentral lists this long non-coding RNA (444 nucleotides) under Setaria italica (foxtail millet). RNAcentral describes it as "long non-coding RNA (SITA_LNC007155)". Lineage: Eukaryota; Viridiplantae; Streptophyta; Magnoliopsida; Poales; Poaceae. The record is from RNAcentral.